Molecule: non-coding RNA, 2432 nt
Organism: Taeniopygia guttata (zebra finch)
Lineage: Eukaryota; Metazoa; Chordata; Aves; Passeriformes; Estrildidae
Source: RefSeq, a predicted model, not a curated record
UGAAUUGCAACACCUGUAUUGUCUCACCCUUCUCAUGAGACUGAAAAUGGAAUAAAAGUUUUUAGAACACCCUGGACACCUGAGGAAGAGGAAGGAGCCCUGUGACUCCUGUGCCAGCUUGGUGGCCUCAGGAAUGUGAUGAGAAUUCUGUCAUGCUGCUCUGGCUUCUCUGGGAAUGUUGUUUCCAAGCUGCCUGUGAGGGAUGACUGCCCAGAGAUUCCAAAGAAGGGGGAAAAUGGGAGCUUUACCCCAAAAAUCUGUGCCCAUAAGUUGUGUGCCAGUUAAAUCCAGAGCUACUCCAAAUCCAGAGCUGUAAUUUGGUGUUGGCAGCUGCUUCUCUUGGAUAUCUGCAGCCACAUCAUUUUUUGGGAGCAGCCCAUGUGGGAUCAAGGUGAUGCCUCAGUAAAAAGUUUUACCUAGCAAAAAAAACCCCCAAAUUCCGCUUGUCUUGCAGUCUUUGAGCACCAAAGCAGCAUCUCACUCCCAAAUAAAGCACAGAGUACCCCUGUGAAUCUGUGAUUACCAUUUCACAGCAUGACAGCCAGGGGUUGAUCCUGGUUUUAUCCAUUUUUUCCUGUAAUUUCUUGUGGGAUGUCUGAUGUGGCUUUAAACAAGCAAAGUUAAGGAGAUAACAAAGGGGGAAUAGGGACAGCUUCAGGACAGCUAUAUUAUUUUUUUCCUUGUUUUCUGCUGCUUUCAGUAUUGCUGCACAUUUGUUUUUCCCCUCGGAGCAUGCACAGGAUUUCUGCCAGGCAGGAAAAGGGGAUUUAUCCCUGGGGUUCUAUCCUUGUCCCCCUGAGAGGGAUUUAGCUGACACCCACUGGAACAGAUUGAUUCUCUUGGACAAGCUGCCUUUUCACCCUGCUGGUGAGCACAAAGAUCUCCUGAAUCCCCUGGGCUGGUCCUGGGGGUGGCUUUGCCCUCCUGUCCCUGGGGAACCAGCAAACCAACCCCAAAGAGGAUUCCAUCCAACCAGUCCCAUGCCUAUCUGCCAGAAAAUGGAAAUAAGGAGGGUUAAUUUAUGUUAACAAACAGCUGGAAAAGCUCCCAGCCCUGCUACAAAAGUUGGCCCCAAAUCUCAGGAGGAAAAUCUUAACCAUUAAACAAAUCCCUUUGAGCUUUAGUGGGGGAUCAGUUACACCCACUUGGUUUCAUCCUCACAUUUAACAAGGCUGUUCCAUAGGGAAAACACUGAUUUUUUUUCCCCCCCAAGCUGGGUUUUUGCCCAAUGUAACACCAGGAUUGGGAAUAGAGCCCUACACCAAGCUCACACACUGGCAGGAUGCUGAUUUAUCCACGCUCACGCUGAGCUAAAAGCUCUGUGCCAUGGAAUCAGAUCAGAAAAUGUUGUCAUAAACAGGAAUAUUGAUGUUGAGAUCAAAGGGAAUUAAAAGAAAGGGGUUUCCUCCUGGUUUAAAUUCAUGGCAGCGCUCUCGAGCACUGCACAAAUGGUGACUUGUGUCGUGUUCUGAAGGAAAAUUGGGAUGUUCAGCCCAAUUCCUUGUAAAAAACCAGCGCAGGGAAAAUGAAGAGGCAGCCCCAGAGAGUGAGGAAUUACAGCAAGAAAUUUGUAGAGACACCUGGUGAGAAAACUAUUUAUGAAAAUGUCAGUGAAACGUUAUUGGAUGUAAUGAGUCACCCCAAAAAAACCAACACAACAAAAAAAAAGGUAAAAUCCUGAGAUAAAAGAUUUGUUCUGAAAUAAUGGAGUAGCAAAGAUGAGUAUUAAAGUGCUUUUUCAAAAUCCCUCUCUAAAUGAUGGCAGUCAAACAAUGGAGUAGAUAUUUGGGAAAGGAAAGAACACAAACAAAUGCUAAAAAUUCAGUGAUAAUUUUGAGUAAAGGGUUGAGAAUCCCCACCCUCAGAGGGGGAAUCAAGACAAAUAAAUACAAUUAUUUAGCUGAAAGAGGGAAUGUGACUUAGAUAAUAACAUAUUGUAUAUUGAAUAUCCUGUAUUAUUUUAUAUUUUUAUAUAUAUAUAAAAUAUAUCCAUAUAAUGAGGAUGAAUAAAACAGAAAUGAGAAUGAAAUGCUCUUUUUGCACUCCUCUUAAUGCAGGAUCUGAGGACACUUCCUGAUGCUGAAAGACUGAAUUCUCAGGGGAUAAAAGGAGCUCAAAUUAACCUCCAGCCAUGGGAUAUCCCUGAGAUCAAGGACUUGGAGGGAGUCCCAAGUGGACAGGGCACUGCUGUGGCUGAGAACACCCAAAGUCAUGAAAUUGCUGGAAUUUCCCCAACAAAAUCUACUCCAGUGGAAUAAGGAGCUGCAGCUGAUAGAACCUGGAUUUUGCAGGAGAGGCAAUUUGCACAAAUGCCCAGAGAAAAACAAUCAGCAAUUCAAAGGAAAACAUGUUGGGCUCCUUUCUUCUGAAAUGACUCCCUGGAAGAGAAUUGGUCCGAAAUAAGGAUUUGUGUUACAAUAAAUGAGAGUUUG